RNAcentral lists this small nuclear RNA (147 nucleotides) under Sinocyclocheilus grahami. RNAcentral describes it as "U2 spliceosomal RNA (ENSSGRG00000015053.1)". It matches the Rfam family "U2 spliceosomal RNA", at positions 38 to 185 of the family's 192-position model. From Rfam's summary of the family: U2 is a small nuclear RNA (snRNA) component of the spliceosome (involved in pre-mRNA splicing). Complementary binding between U2 snRNA (in an area lying towards the 5' end but 3' to hairpin I) and the branchpoint sequence (BPS) of the intron results the bulging out of an unpaired adenosine, on the BPS, which initiates a nucleophilic attack at the intronic 5' splice site, thus starting the first of two transesterification reactions that mediate splicing. Lineage: Eukaryota; Metazoa; Chordata; Actinopteri; Cypriniformes; Cyprinidae. The record is from RNAcentral.
AUCUGUUCUUAUCAGUUUAAUAACUGAUAUGUUCCCUACAUGAGGACUGCAUAUUAAAUAGAUUUUUGGAUCACGGAGCUGGAGCGGGGGCUUGCUCCGUCUACUCCACGCAUCGGCCUGGUAUUGCAGUGUCUCCUCGAACGGUGU